GCCUCUAAGGGGGAUGGAAGAUAUUCUUUCUUUGAUCAGAUUAUGCGAUUGAAGGUUUUCAGUUUUCCUCGUAGGGCUUGUAGCUCAGUCGGUUAGAGCGCGCGCUUGAUAAGCGUGAGGUCGGAGGUUCAAGUCCUCCCAGGCCCACCAGUUCCGCUAUGCUGCACUUUGCUCUGAUAAGCUGAGAAGGCGCUCAGUGAGACUGAUCGUAAUCCCUUUUUGGAUAAUUCCUUAAAAGAAUUUAUUGCCUCAAUCAAUUUUUUCUAAAAGUGUUUAGAACCUCCAUAGAAACUUAAAGCUUUCUAGAGCAAUGAACUCUUCAUGAGAAAUUUGGACCCUUCGUGAGAAAGUAUUGUCUCUCCUUUUCAAUAAGGGACAAAACAGGGAAAAGAGCAGGCCAAUAUUGUGUCUCUGUUUGUUUUAAAAAGCCUCUGUUUUUUAGAAUAUAGCGUUUUUAAAAGAGCAAGAUGUGAGGGAGUUUUAGCUGUUUUAGGGGCCGUAGCUCAGCUGGGAGAGCACCUGCUUUGCAAGCAGGGGGUCGUCGGUUCGAUCCCGUCCGGCUCCACCAUAUGGUUCAUCAUCAUUGUUAAAAGAAUAGUUAUUGCAAGAGAUGAAGUAAUCUCUUU
RNAcentral lists this transfer RNA (626 nucleotides) under Bartonella rochalimae. RNAcentral's name for it is "partial 16S-23S ribosomal RNA intergenic spacer". The stretch from base 74 to 147 matches the Rfam family "tRNA". The record is from RNAcentral. Lineage: Bacteria; Pseudomonadati; Pseudomonadota; Alphaproteobacteria; Hyphomicrobiales; Bartonellaceae.